This 460-nucleotide ribosomal RNA is filed under the name uncultured bacterium. RNAcentral's name for it is "partial 16S ribosomal RNA". It matches the Rfam family "Bacterial small subunit ribosomal RNA", at positions 338 to 795 of the family's 1533-position model. The record is from RNAcentral.
CCUACGGGAGGCAGCAGUGAGGAAUAUUGGUCAAUGGGCGCGAGCCUGAACCAGCCAAGUAGCGUGAAGGAUGACUGCCCUACGGGUUGUAAACUUCUUUUAUAAAGGAAUAAAGUGAGGCACGUGUGCCUUUUUGUAUGUACUUUAUGAAUAAGGAUCGGCUAACUCCGUGCCAUCAGCCGCGGUAAUACGGAGGAUACGAGCGUUAUCCGGAUUUAUUGGGUUUAAAGGGAGCGUAGAUGGGUUGUUAAGUCAGUUGUGAAAGUUUGCGGCUCAACCGUAAAAUUGCAAUUGAUACUGGCAGUCUUGAGUACAGUUGAGGUAGGCGGAAUUCGUGGUGUAGCGGUGAAAUGCUUAGAUAUCACGAAGAACUCCGAUUGCGAAGGCAGCUUACUAAACUGCCACUGACAUUGAUGCUCGAAAGUGUGGGUAUCAAACAGGAUUAGAUACCCUAGUAGUC